UCCGAUAUAGUGUAACGGCUAACACGCCUCGUUUCCACGGGGAGCUCGAGGUUCGACUCCUCGUAUCGAAA
RNAcentral lists this transfer RNA (71 nucleotides) under Hypoxylon rubiginosum. RNAcentral's name for it is "tRNA-OTHER". It matches the Rfam family "tRNA". Rfam says of the family: Transfer RNA (tRNA) molecules are approximately 80 nucleotides in length. Their secondary structure includes four short double-helical elements and three loops (D, anti-codon, and T loops). Further hydrogen bonds mediate the characteristic L-shaped molecular structure. tRNAs have two regions of fundamental functional importance: the anti-codon, which is responsible for specific mRNA codon recognition, and the 3' end, to which the tRNAs corresponding amino acid is attached (by aminoacyl-tRNA synthetases). tRNAs cope with the degeneracy of the genetic code in two manners: having more than one tRNA (with a specific anti-codon) for a particular amino acid; and 'wobble' base-pairing, i.e. permitting non-standard base-pairing at the 3rd anti-codon position. Lineage: Eukaryota; Fungi; Ascomycota; Sordariomycetes; Xylariales; Hypoxylaceae. The record is from RNAcentral.